GGGUGCAGUAUUGUAUUUGAUCGACGACGGGCUGGAGCAUGAUUAUAAUUAGUCCAAUAAUGAAAAGAUAAAUAUAAAGCAUGGGAAAGAGAGAGCAUGUAGAUAGUCGGCCAUAUAUAAAAUGUGGCAUAUUAGCCGUGAACUGAGAUGUUUAGCCUACCACAGGCUAGAGCAUUGUUGUGACUCAUCUAAUACCAAAAUCAAAUCAAAAUAAUGAACCAUAUCUAAUUGAAGGAUAUCUGGACUAGCCGGCACGUGUGAAAUAAGGUAUUAUGAUGUCAGCCG
This 285-nucleotide long non-coding RNA is filed under the name Elaeis guineensis (African oil palm). Its description in RNAcentral is "long non-coding RNA (EGUI_LNC024911)". Lineage: Eukaryota; Viridiplantae; Streptophyta; Magnoliopsida; Arecales; Arecaceae. The record is from RNAcentral.